UACGUAGGGUGCGAGCGUUAAUCGGAAUUACUGGGCGUAAAGCGUGCGCAGGCGGUUUUGUAAGCCAGAUGUGAAAUCCCCAGGCUCAACCUGGGAAUGGCAUUUGGGACUGCAAGGCUGGAGUUUGGCAGAGGAGACUGGAAUUCCUGGUGUAGCAGUGAAAUGCGUAGAUAUCAGGAGGAACACCGAUGGCGAAGGCAGGUCUCUGGGCUGAAACUGACGCUCAUGCACGAAAGCGUGGGGAGCAAACAGG
This 253-nucleotide ribosomal RNA is filed under the name uncultured bacterium. RNAcentral's name for it is "partial 16S ribosomal RNA". It matches the Rfam family "Bacterial small subunit ribosomal RNA", at positions 524 to 776 of the family's 1533-position model. The record is from RNAcentral.